RNAcentral lists this ribosomal RNA (270 nucleotides) under uncultured bacterium. RNAcentral's name for it is "partial 16S ribosomal RNA". It matches the Rfam family "Bacterial small subunit ribosomal RNA", at positions 89 to 354 of the family's 1533-position model. The record is from RNAcentral.
UGGCGACCGGCGCACGGGUGAGUAACACGUAUGCAACCUGCCCUCCGCAGGGGGAUAACCCGGAGAAAUCCGGACUAAUACCGCGUGGUACAUCUGUGGGGCAUCCCACGGGUGUUAAAAGGAAGCGAUUCCGGCGGAGGAUGGGCAUGCGGCGCAUUAGCUAGUUGGCGGGGUAACGGCCCACCAAGGCGACGAUGCGUAGGGGUUCUGAGAGGAAGGUCCCCCACACUGGUACUGAGACACGGACCAGACUCCUACGGAAGGCAGCAG